RNAcentral lists this ribosomal RNA (398 nucleotides) under uncultured bacterium. Its description in RNAcentral is "bacterial SSU rRNA". It matches the Rfam family "Bacterial small subunit ribosomal RNA", at positions 8 to 432 of the family's 1533-position model. The record is from RNAcentral.
AGAGUUUGAUCCUGGCUCAGAACGAACGCUGGCGGCAGGCCUCAAACAUGCAAGUCUAGGGGGUGUAGCAAUACAUCACCGGCGGACGGGUGCGUAACACGUGGGAAUAUACCUUUUGGUUCGGAACAACGCAGGGAAACUUGCGCUAAUACCGAAUGUGCCCUUACGGGGAAAGAUUUAUCGCCAAAGGAUUAGCCCGCGUCCGAUUAGCUAGUUGGUGAGGUAAUGGCUCACCAAGGCUCCGAUCGGUAGCUGUUCUGAGAGGAAGAUCAGCCACACUGGGACUGAGACACGGCCCAGACUCCUACGGGAGGCAGCAGUUGGGAAUCUUGGACAAUGGGGGAAACCCUGAUCCAGCCAUGCCGCGUGAGUGAUGAAGGCCUUCGGGUUGUAAAACU